Molecule: ribosomal RNA, 361 nt
Filed under: Proteus mirabilis
Lineage: Bacteria; Pseudomonadati; Pseudomonadota; Gammaproteobacteria; Enterobacterales; Morganellaceae
Description: partial 23S ribosomal RNA
Rfam family: Bacterial large subunit ribosomal RNA
Source: RNAcentral
GGUUAAGCGAAUAAGCGUACACGGUGGAUGCCUAGGCAAUCAGAGGCGAUGAAGGACGUGCUAAUCUGCGAAAAGCGUCGGUAAGGUGAUAUGAACCGUUAUACCCGACGAUAUCCGAAUGGGGAAACCCAGUAUCCAAUGGAUACUAUCAUUAACUGAAUUCAUAGGUUAAUGAGGCGAACCGGGAGAACUGAAACAUCUCAGUACCCCGAGGAAAAGAAAUCAACCGAGAUUCCCCUAGUAGCGGCGAGCGAACGGGGAGCAGCCCAGAGUCUUAAUCAAUAGCAGUGUCAGGAGAACGGUCUGGAAAGUCCGGCAGUAAAGGGUGAUAGCCCCGUAUCUGAAGAUGCUGUUAUUGUGA